This 76-nucleotide transfer RNA is filed under the name Bdellovibrio sp. Its description in RNAcentral is "tRNA-Arg". It matches the Rfam family "tRNA". Rfam says of the family: Transfer RNA (tRNA) molecules are approximately 80 nucleotides in length. Their secondary structure includes four short double-helical elements and three loops (D, anti-codon, and T loops). Further hydrogen bonds mediate the characteristic L-shaped molecular structure. tRNAs have two regions of fundamental functional importance: the anti-codon, which is responsible for specific mRNA codon recognition, and the 3' end, to which the tRNAs corresponding amino acid is attached (by aminoacyl-tRNA synthetases). tRNAs cope with the degeneracy of the genetic code in two manners: having more than one tRNA (with a specific anti-codon) for a particular amino acid; and 'wobble' base-pairing, i.e. permitting non-standard base-pairing at the 3rd anti-codon position. RNAcentral also lists the same sequence under 2 other names. The record is from RNAcentral. Lineage: Bacteria; Pseudomonadati; Bdellovibrionota; Bdellovibrionia; Bdellovibrionales; Pseudobdellovibrionaceae.
GGGGCCAUAGUUCAAUGGAUAGAAUGCCCGGCUUCGAACCGGUCGGUUGCAAGUUCGAGUCUUGCUGGCCCCACCA